UGGACGUAUAUUUUUAAAGUUAUAGCACAUGUAUAAAAAAUUUAUUUUUCCUGCUUGUGAUAAUUAUGUUAACCAUUGUGUACCAUAAUUAUAUCACAGGCAGAGGGGAGGAUUUUGUGUAUAAUUGCUGGGACUGUUUUCUGUAAUGUAUGUGUAUUAUUGGUUGUUCUGUAAAACCCUGUGGGCAGUACUAAGUUUGUGGAUUGGGAAUAAAAGAAGC
Molecule: non-coding RNA, 220 nt
Organism: Pelobates cultripes (western spadefoot toad)
Lineage: Eukaryota; Metazoa; Chordata; Amphibia; Anura; Pelobatidae
Source: the annotation of a GenBank genome assembly